RNAcentral lists this ribosomal RNA (807 nucleotides) under Triticum aestivum (bread wheat). Its description in RNAcentral is "partial small subunit ribosomal RNA". Lineage: Eukaryota; Viridiplantae; Streptophyta; Magnoliopsida; Poales; Poaceae. The record is from RNAcentral.
AUGCUUCUCCUUACUGAUUCGUAUGGAAUUAGCCAGACCCGACGAUCAAGUUCUUGGUUGUUGCCACCAAUUCUCUUGCUCUUAUUAAGCUCAGCCUUAGUAGAAGUGGGCAGCGGCACUGGCUGGACAGUCUAUCCGCCCUUAAGUGGUAUUACCAGCCAUUUUGGAGGAGCAGUGUAUGUAGCAAUUUUUAGUCUUCAUCUAUCAGGUACUUCAUCAAUUUUUGGUUCUAUCAAUUUUAUAACCAUCUUCAACAUGCGUGGACCUGGAAUGACUAUGCAUAGAUUACCACUUUUUGUGUGGUCUGUUCUAGUGUCAACAUUCAUACUUUUAUUAUCACUUCCGGUACUGGCGGGGGCAAUUACAAUGCUAUUAACCAAUCGAAACUUUAAUACAACCUUUUUUGAUCCUGCAGGAGGGGCAGACCCAAUAUUAUACCAGCAUCUCUUUUGGUUCUUCGGUCAUCCAGAGGUGUAUAUUCUCAUUCUGCCUAGAUUUGGUAUUAUUAGUCAUAUCGUAUCGACCUUUUCAAGAAAACCGGUCUUCGGGUAUUUAGGCAUGGUUUAUGCCAUGAUAAGUAUAGGCGUUCUUGGAUUUCUAGUUUGGGAUCAUCAUAUGUUUACUCUGGGCUUAGACGUUGAUACACGUGCCUACUUCACCGCAACUACCAUGAUCAUAGCUAUGCCCAUAGGAAUCAAAAUCUUUAGUUGGAUAUCUACCAUGUGGGGAGGUUCGAUACAAUACAAAACACCCAUGUUAUUUGCUGUAGGGUUCAUCUUUUUGUUCACCAUCGGCGGGCUCACUUGA